GCGCAGCAGUCGCGAAACCUUCGCAAUGCGGGAAACCGCGACGAGGGGACUCCCAGUGCCUACGCUCAGCGUAGGCUGUUCCCGAGCCUAGAAAGCUCGGGGAGUAAGGGCUGGGUAAGACGGGUGCCAGCCGCCGCGGUAAUACCCGCAGCCCGAGUGGUGGCCACUAUUAUUGGGCCUAAAGCGUCCGUAGCCGGCCCGGUAAAUGCCUGGGUAAAUCGUGAGGCCUAACCUCACGAAUUCCGGGUAGACUGCCGGGCUAGGGGACCGGAGGAGGGAGAGGGUACUCCAGGGGUAGGGGUGAAAUCCUGUAAUCCCUGGAGGACCACCGGUGGCGAAGGCGCUCUCCUAGGACGGGUCCGACGGUGAGGGACGAAAGCCAGGGGAGCGAACCGGAUUAGAUACCCCGGUAGU
RNAcentral lists this ribosomal RNA (414 nucleotides) under uncultured microorganism. RNAcentral's name for it is "bacterial SSU rRNA". It matches the Rfam family "Archaeal small subunit ribosomal RNA", at positions 330 to 745 of the family's 1478-position model. The record is from RNAcentral.